CAUUAAAUCACUCCCUUUGUUCCAGUCUUUUCUUAGGUCACUUGUCACUUCCAAGAGCUGACACAAUUCGGAUCAUCUCAUCUGCUGUGUGUGCCACAGGCCCUGGAAUUUCUUGUACCGGACCAAACCAUUUCUCUUUGAGCAGGGCAUAUAUUGAAGAUCAUUCCUGCCAAGACCCAUCUGUGGCAAAGUGUAUGAGGACUGUGUUUUAGUUUGGCUCGUAUCUUUGAUUUCAAUGAUUUCAAAAAAACAAACAUAAAAAAACCACAGCCCACGACUGUGUUUUCAGGACAGCCUACUUAAGAAAUAGUUUUCGGAAGUUCUUCACUCCAGGGUACUUUCAGGAGGCUUCCAGCAGGUUGCCCAUUUGGAGUUUGGAAAAUGGUAGACUCAGAUGAGCUGAAGCAGGCCUGCCAGUCCACCCUAGAACUCAACUGGUACUAAGGGUGGGCUCGGCCACCACCACGGAAAACACAGGAGUGCGAGUU
Nothoprocta perdicaria is the source of this 488-nucleotide long non-coding RNA. RefSeq lists it as uncharacterized. The record is from RefSeq and is a predicted model, not a curated record. The transcript is spliced from 5 exons. Lineage: Eukaryota; Metazoa; Chordata; Aves; Tinamiformes; Tinamidae.